RNAcentral lists this ribosomal RNA (239 nucleotides) under Escherichia coli. RNAcentral describes it as "partial 23S ribosomal RNA". It matches the Rfam family "Bacterial large subunit ribosomal RNA", at positions 1646 to 1867 of the family's 2925-position model. The record is from RNAcentral. Lineage: Bacteria; Pseudomonadati; Pseudomonadota; Gammaproteobacteria; Enterobacterales; Enterobacteriaceae.
ACCCCAAACCGACACAGGUGGUCAGGUAGAGAAUACCAAGGCGCUUGAGAGAACUCGGGUGAAGGAACUAGGCAAAAUGGUGCCGUAACUUCGGGAGAAGGCACGCGGAUAUGUAGGUGAAGUCCCUUGCGGCUGGAGCUGAAAUCAGUCGAAGAUACCAGCUGGCUGCCACUGUUUAUUAAUAACACAGCACUGUGCAAACACGAAAGUGGACGUAUACGGUGUGACGCCUGCCCGGU